RNAcentral lists this ribosomal RNA (286 nucleotides) under Escherichia coli. Its description in RNAcentral is "partial 16S ribosomal RNA". It matches the Rfam family "Bacterial small subunit ribosomal RNA", at positions 511 to 796 of the family's 1533-position model. The record is from RNAcentral. Lineage: Bacteria; Pseudomonadati; Pseudomonadota; Gammaproteobacteria; Enterobacterales; Enterobacteriaceae.
GCAGCCGCGGUAAUACAGAGGGUGCAAGCGUUAAUCGGAAUUACUGGGCGUAAAGCGCGCGUAGGUGGUUAGUUAAGUUGGAUGUGAAAUCCCCGGGCUCAACCUGGGAACUGCAUUCAAAACUGACGGGCUAGAGUAUGGUAGAGGGUGGUGGAAUUUCCUGUGUAGCGGUGAAAUGCGUAGAUAUAGGAAGGAACACCAGUGGCGAAGGCGACCACCUGGACUGAUACUGACACUGAGGUGCGAAAGCGUGGGGAGCAAACAGGAUUAGAUACCCCGGUAGUCC